Sus scrofa (pig) is the source of this 1425-nucleotide non-coding RNA. The record is from RefSeq and is a predicted model, not a curated record. Lineage: Eukaryota; Metazoa; Chordata; Mammalia; Artiodactyla; Suidae.
ACCCACUGAGCGAGGGGAUUGAACCUGCGUCCUCAUGGAUAUUUGGGUUCAUUACCGCUGAGCCACGGUGGGAAUGUCCUGUUUGCCUUUUCUUCUAAUUUGCUUUUUGUUCAUUUAAUUUACAGGCUCCAGGAACUGAACCUAAGAGGGUUCUCCCUGCCCCGUGGGGGGCGGCUCCUGUGAUUUGCAUCCGGAGUGAGGGUUCCUGCUGUGCUCAGGUGGCAUUGCCCUGAGAACAAUGGCCCGGCUGCUGCGGGGGCACCACGGGGCACCUUCCGUUGUCCCACGGAUCCCCAGGUAAAGCCGGGGGAGGGCCCCCCCCCCGAGCCCUGAGAAAAGCCCAACACGAAGCACCCAGAGGAAGCCACGUGCUCCAAGAAAAGGUUAUCGCGGGUGGUGACCAGGCACCUGGUGCCACCUGAUUGACACAUUAAUGAAAUGUCUCUAAAGAGGCAAUUUGGGGCUGUUACCUGGGCAGCUCCAUCUGCACAGUGGGCAGGGGCCUGUGCCCUCCAGGAAGCAGGUGUUGCCGUGGGCAAGGGCUGGCCACUGGGCUGGCCCUGGGGGGUUCAGGGCUCCCAUGGGCUACUGGCGAAGAGCGGGUGGGGGCCGAGUGGACACUUCGGGGGGCAGGGCUUGGGAGGUUUGUUUUAGCCACAAAAUCACAGCUAGAGACUCAGCGGGGAGGGGCCUUGGACGUGUGCUUGGUUCCCCAGGGACUGCUGCCCAUCACCGCUUUGUCCCAGCCCCUAGGACCGCGCUGGUGGUGGACGGAUGUGGUACCGAGUUCAGCCCCUGAGAGCAGCACUGGCCCACUGGACCUGGUUUUUCAUCCAGCUCUGGCCACUCCCAAGGGACCUGGGCUGGCCUCGGGGUGCAGGAGGCUGGAGCCUUGGGUGUCCCCAGCACAGGUCAGUGUGUCACCCUGGUGGCUUCACAAGCCGGGCAGGCUCCUGCAUCCUUUGUCCAGUGUCAGCAAUGGGACCAGCUGAGCCACAAGUGCCACCAAGGCUCCUCAGCCUCAGAGCUGGGGGCGCAGCCACACCUGGUCCCAGAGAUGCCCACAGCCCUUCAGGGGAGGCGCCUCUAGGUGGCAUGAGGCUUUUACCCUCAACUGGAAGCACUGCUUUUUGCCCCAACUCUGAGCUCGCCUGACCCCCACGGGUGAUGGCGCCCCCUGCAGCCAGCCGCCAGCCCUCAUGGCACCUCCUCCCCACCUUGCCAGGUCCACGGCCCUCACGCCCAGAGUGCCAGCUCCCUCCUCAGCCUUGGUGCCCAAACCCCCACUGUCCUGGGGCCCCAGGGACCCUGGGUGUCCCGAGGGGACCGCGGUGCACAGGGACCCUGCCAGGAAAGCCGAGGGCCCCCCACCUUAUCACAAAGCAUUUCACGUUUAUUUAAAUAAAAAUUAUAAUUUAUACAAGA